Molecule: ribosomal RNA, 497 nt
Filed under: uncultured bacterium
Lineage: Bacteria
Description: partial 16S ribosomal RNA
Rfam family: Bacterial small subunit ribosomal RNA
Source: RNAcentral
GAUGAACGCUGGCGGCGUGCCUAAUACAUGCAAGUCGAGCGAACAGAUGAGGAGCUUGCUCCUCUGACGUUAGCGGCGGACGGGUGAGUAACACGUGGAUAACCUACCUAUAAGACUGGGAUAACUUCGGGAAACCGGAGCUACUACCGGAUAAUAUAUUGAACCGCAUGGUUCAAUAGUGAAUGACGGUUUUGCUGUCACUUAUAGAUGGAUUCGCGCCGCAUUAGCUAGUUGGUAAGGUAACGGCUUACCAAGGCAACGAUGCGUAGCCGACCUGAGAGGGUGAUCGGCCACACUGGAACUGAGACACGGUCCAGACUCCUACGGGAGGCAGCAGUAGGGAAUCUUCCGCAAUGGGCGAAAGCCUGACGGAGCAACGCCGCGUGAGUGAUGAAGGUCUUCGGAUCGUAAAGCUCUGUUAUUAGGGAAGAACAAAUGUGUAAGUAACUAUGCACGUCUUGACGGUACCUAAUCAGAAAGCCACGGCUAACUACGUG